UACGGAGGUGGCAAGCGUUGCUCGGAAUCACUGGGCGUAAAGGGCGCGUAGGUGGUUCUGUAUGUCUACCGUGAAAGCGUACGGCUCAACCGUAUUUUGUCGGUGGAAACUGCAGGACUUGAGGCUGGGAGGGGCUGGUGGAAUUCCCUGUGUAGCGGUGAAAUGCGUAGAGAUGGGGGAGAACACUCGUGGCGAAGGCGGCCAGCUAGACCAGUUCUGACACUGAGGCGCGACAGCGUGGGGAGCAAACAGG
This 253-nucleotide ribosomal RNA is filed under the name uncultured bacterium. Its description in RNAcentral is "partial 16S ribosomal RNA". It matches the Rfam family "Bacterial small subunit ribosomal RNA", at positions 524 to 776 of the family's 1533-position model. The record is from RNAcentral.